UGAAUACGAGAUGCUACGGCGUCGAAGCAGUCUAUGUCAUACUUCCAAGAAAAGCUUGCACUGUCAUAAACAAAUAAUGCCUGUACCAUAACCGACACAGGUGGGUAGGUAGAGUAUACUAAGGGGCGCGAGAUAACUCUCUCUAAGGAACUCGGCAAAAUGACUCCGUAACUUCGGGAGAAGGAGUGCCUUAUUUAUAAGGUUGCAAUAACAAGACCCAAGCAACUGUUUAUCAAAAACACAGGUCUCCGCUAAGUCGUAAGACGAUGUAUGGGGGCUGACGCCUGCCCAGUGCCAGAAGGUUAAAGAAGUUGGUUAGCAUCCGCGAAGCUGAUAACUGAAGCCCUGGUGAACGGCGGCCGUAACAAUAACGGUCCUAAGGUAGCGAAAUUCCUUGUCGGGUAAGUUUCGACCCGCACGAAAGGCGUAAUGAUUUGGGUACUGUCUCGGAGAGGGGCUCGGUGAAAUAGACUUGUCUGUGAAGAUGCGGACUACCUGCACCAGGACAGAAAGACCCUAUGAAGCUUUACUGUAACUUGAGAUUGAAAUUGGACUUUACUUGCGCAGUAUAGGUGGGAGGCGUUGAUAAUAUUCUUGCGGGAAUAUUGGAGCCAUCAGUGAGAUACCACUCUUGUAAUGUUAGAUUUCUAACUUUGAAUCAUUAUCUGGUCAAAGAACAGUCUCAGGCGGGCAGUUUGACUGGGGCGGUCGCCUCCCAAACGGUAACGGAGGCGCACAAAGGUUUCCUCUGAACGGGUAGAAAUCGUAUCUAGAGUGUAAAGGCAUAAGGAAGCUUGACUGUGAGACCUACAAGUCGAGCAGGGACGAAAGUCGGUCUUAGUGAUCUGACGGUGCUGAGUGGAAAGGCCGUCACUCAACGGAUAAAAGUUACUCUAAGGAUAACAGGCUGAUCUCCCCCAAGAGUUCACAUCGACGGGGAGGUUUGGCACCUCGAUGUCGGCUCAUCGCAUCCUGGGGCGGUAGUACGUCCCAAGGGUUGGGCUGUUCGCCCAUGAAAGCGGUACGCGAGCUGGGUUCAGAACGUCGUGAGACAGUUCGGUCCAUAUCCGGUGUAGGCGUUAGAAUAUUGAGAGGAGCCUUCUUUAGUACGAGAGGACCGAGAAGGACAUACCUCUGGUGUACCAGUUAUCGUGCCAACGGUAAACGCUGGGUAGCUAUGUAUGGAGUGGAUAACCGCUGAAAGCAUCUAAGUGGGAAGCCCACCUCAAGAUAAGUAUUCUCGU
Molecule: ribosomal RNA, 1244 nt
Filed under: metagenome
Description: bacterial LSU rRNA
Rfam family: Bacterial large subunit ribosomal RNA
Source: RNAcentral